Molecule: ribosomal RNA, 253 nt
Filed under: uncultured bacterium
Lineage: Bacteria
Description: partial 16S ribosomal RNA
Rfam family: Bacterial small subunit ribosomal RNA
Source: RNAcentral
UACGUAGGUGGCAAGCUUUGUCCGGAUUUACUGGGUGUAAAGGGCGUGUAGACGGGUCUGCAAGUCAGAUGUGAAAUACCGGGGCUCAACUCCGGGGCUGCAUUUGAAACUGUGGAUCUUGAGUGCGGGAGAGGGAAGCGGAAUUCCUAGUGUAGCGGUGAAAUGCGUAGAGAUUAGGUGGAACACCAGUGGCGAAGGCGGCUUUCUGGACCGUAACUGACGUUGAGGCGCGAAAGCGUGGGGAGCAAACAGG